CAGCCGCCGCGGUAAUACGUAGGGACCGAGCGUUGUCCGGAUUCAUUGGGCGUAAAGCGCGCGCAGGCGGCUUCGUAGGUCGGGUGUGAAAACCAGAGGCUCAACCUCUGGCCUGCACCCGAAACCACGUCGCUAGAGGCAGGUAGGGGAGAUCGGAAUUCCUGGUGUAGCGGUGAAAUGCGCAGAUAUCAGGAGGAACACCGGUGGCGAAGGCGGAUCCCUGAGCCUGUCCUGACGCUGAGGUGCGAAAGCUAGGGGAGCGAACAGGAUUAGAUACCCUGGUAGUCCUAGCCGUAAACGUUGGAUGCUAGGUGUGGGCGGAUAUUGACCCCGUCCGUGCCGGAGCUAACGCAUUAAGCAUCCCGCCUGGGGAGUACGGCCGCAAGGCUAAAACUUAAAGGAAUUGACGG
Molecule: ribosomal RNA, 410 nt
Filed under: uncultured bacterium
Lineage: Bacteria
Description: bacterial SSU rRNA
Rfam family: Bacterial small subunit ribosomal RNA
Source: RNAcentral